RNAcentral lists this ribosomal RNA (446 nucleotides) under Aeribacillus sp. J04M017. RNAcentral describes it as "bacterial SSU rRNA". It matches the Rfam family "Bacterial small subunit ribosomal RNA", at positions 95 to 526 of the family's 1533-position model. The record is from RNAcentral. Lineage: Bacteria; Bacillati; Bacillota; Bacilli; Caryophanales; Bacillaceae.
GCGGCGGACGGGUGAGUAACACGUGGGCAACCUGCCUGCAAGACGGGGAUAACUCCGGGAAACCGGGGCUAAUACCGGAUAACACGAAAGACCGCAUGGUCUUUGGUUGAAAGGCGGCUUCGGCUGCCGCUUGCAGAUGGGCCCGCGGCGCAUUAGCUAGUUGGUGAGGUAACGGCUCACCAAGGCGACGAUGCGUAGCCGACCUGAGAGGGUGAACGGCCACACUGGGACUGAGACACGGCCCAGACUCCUACGGGAGGCAGCAGUAGGGAAUCUUCCGCAAUGGACGAAAGUCUGACGGAGCAACGCCGCGUGAGCGAAGAAGGUCUUCGGAUCGUAAAGCUCUGUUGUCAGGGAAGAACAAGCGCCGUUCAAAGAGGGCGGCGCCUUGACGGUACCUGACGAGGAAGCCACGGCUAACUACGUGCCAGCAGCCGCGGUAAUAC